CAGCGAGUUUUCCUUGUCCGAAAGGUCUGGGUAAUCUUGUAAAUGUGUGUCGUGAUAGGGAUAGAUUAUUGCAAUUAUUAAUCUUGAACGAGGAAUUCCUAGUAAAUGCAAGUCAUCAGCUUGCGUUGAUUACGUCCCUGCCCUUUGUACACACCGCCCGUCGCACCUACCGAUUGAAUGAUUCGGUGAAUUCUUCGGACUGUGGUUCGGACGCUUUCGGGCGACUGAGCUGCGGGAAGUUGUUUAAACCUCAUCAUUUAGAGGAAGGUGAAGUCGUAACAAGGUUUCCGUAGGUGAACCUGCGGAAGGAUCA
RNAcentral lists this ribosomal RNA (313 nucleotides) under Acrispumella msimbaziensis. RNAcentral describes it as "SSU rRNA". It matches the Rfam family "Eukaryotic small subunit ribosomal RNA", at positions 1513 to 1828 of the family's 1831-position model. Lineage: Eukaryota; Synurophyceae; Ochromonadales. The record is from RNAcentral.